Molecule: long non-coding RNA, 2626 nt
Filed under: Nicotiana tabacum (common tobacco)
Lineage: Eukaryota; Viridiplantae; Streptophyta; Magnoliopsida; Solanales; Solanaceae
Description: long non-coding RNA (NTAB_LNC009961)
Source: RNAcentral
UUGUGCUCAAAUUUUUUUUUUUCCGGUUAUAAAUCGUGGUUAGAUUGAUAAAAAGUGAUACAUGGAAUCCUACUCAGCGUUUCUUAUUAUUUAGAGCUUUCCCAUUAUCGUAUUCAGAGUUUUAACUUUUUUUAAAAAUAAAGAUGGGUAGGUUAGUUGGGGAAACAAUGUGAAGCACACCAAAUUAACAACUCAGCAAUAUCAAAUCCUGAUGUGAUAGUUGCUAAGGGCUUUGCCUUUUUCUGAUGUUUCUAUGACCAGAUUUUCAUAAACUCAAUUUUAUGAUUCAUGUACGAUUGACUAAAGAUUUCAAUGCUGGCUUACUUUCUAAUAUUUUGGUGACUUUGUUUGCAAGGUUCAUCUCUGGUUUCUUUCUUGGUACUGUUCCUUGGUAUAUUGGAGCUUUUCUUCUUCUGUGUGUGCGGAUUGAUUACAGAGAAAAGCCUGGACUUAUAGCAUGCACAUUGGAUGGCUCUCUCUCUCUCUCUCUCUCUCUCUCUCUCUCUCUCUCUCUCUCUCUCUCUCUCUCUCUCUUAUAGCAUGCAAUUGUACGGUGGAUGAUAUUCCCUUCGUCAUUAAUUCUUGGGUACCAUGUGUUUUCGUCAGAGUCAUGUUGGCAAAUAUUGUUGGGGUAAAAUCACACAAAUUGCUCAGUUGACUGGGUUUAGGACAUAAAGACUUUUGACACAUAUUGAAAGUUCUUUUAAAACUUGUGGUCUUAAACAUGUUAUGACAUUUCUACGGUUAUAAGAACAUGUCAUUAUUGGUAAAUUGGAAAUUUGAAGUUAAGUUUUCCAAAAUAUCCAAUAUCAUCCUUUUUGGAAGACUAAAAAAGAAAAAGUGUUGUAUAAAUUGGAACAGAGGUGUAACCAUUUUUUUAUAUGAAGAAUGGAACAGAGGGAGUAAUAAAAUUUGGUUUUGGCAGCUAUACAUUUGGAAAAAGAAUAAACUCUCUUGUACGUCCAGUAUAUGUGGACUUGAUAUUGGAUAACUAUAUUUAUUACACCAUGUAAGUGCUUACCAUGAUUUUACCUCAUUUGACUUGGAUAUCCUUUUCUAUUGCUAUUUACCUUAUUCUAGAGAGGGCAUAAAUGUAUAUUAUAGCUUGGAUUUCUACGAGCGUAUAUUAGAGGAACAUUAGAAGGAUUGAGCAAUUAGACUAGGUUGAGAAGUGGACUAAAUUUGGGUAGCCAAUUGUAAAACCACUUUUAAACCCCGCUUUUUUUGGCCCAAUUGCUUUUAGCCCUUUUCAUGUCGACAUGUUUUCAAUCUGCUAGAUUUGGCCAAAUCAUCAAAUCAUUGUUCCUUUCUGCCUCCAAGGAAGCACGUCUUAAAAAAUAUUCAACAAUAACCUUGAUUUUUGGUGCUGUCAAAGUCCUAAUCUAACUCUUGCAUGAGUUUUUGGCUUUAUAUAUUUAUUAUGUAACAUUUCCUUCUAGUGCCGACUGGUAUUCAGGAAAGCUCGGGCUAGUUCCUUUAAAGAGGUCUUAUAUUUAUCUUGUUCGGUCUUAUUCAGAUCGUGGAUUUGAAUCCAAGUAAUGUGCAGUUCAGUUCUCCAAUUUUAAAUUGGUCUGAAUUCCUAGGUGACGCUUAAAAGCCUUCCAUAUAAGCAAAUAAGCAGUCCUGCACUGGUACUCUUGUACACUUUGUUGUUCUGCUGAAUACUCAAGUAAUCUGUUUUAUGGUUGCAAUUAGUCAAGCAUAUCUUUACUGUUUACAGGUUAAACACACUAUUUGGUAAUACCCAACUUGAAUUUUAAGAAGGAAUAAUAUACGAGGAGUUGAUGUAUGCUCUUUUAUAUGCUACAAAGAUACAUUACGCCUUCCCUCCUUUGUUUGGAUUUGGAGGUAGAUGGGGAUGGAGGGGAAGGAAACAAAUAGGGGGGUAGAUAAGUUCAUGGAUAGAUGAGUGCUUGUUAUUACUGCCCCAAGCGGUUGUAGCUAUGCACUAAUUAGUUUACUGAUUUCUGCAGUACUCAAUGGAGCAAAGUAUCAGCAUUGUCACUCCAUUACUUUAUUAUUUCUCAAUUUCUUUGCUGUGACAAUGUCAGCCGCUGACUAUGUUUAUCUUUUUGAUAAUCAGGCCAUGCUUGCUUUAAUUGCUGUGACUUUUGGUGUGACAAAGGCAACUCAUUCCUGGUGAGGCUAUCCAGGCUGCAAAAUGUAACUUAUAGUGGAUCUCGGGGGGGGGGGGGCAGCAACUUUAUUGAUUGGUUUUUGUUUGUAAGGAUGUCUCUUUUUUUCAAUCUGUAUAGCAAAUAUUGACUUGGGUGGUUCUUAUAUUGAACGUACACUUCCUUUAUUAAUGUUUGUGGUACUUCUUGGUAUGCUCCAGCAGUAAAUGUGAUGUGUAUUUUUGAAACUUCCCCAACAGAAACUAAAUUGGAUGUGUGUUCAGUCUGUAGAAUUUGGCUGCUCCAUUCGGAAGACAUUACAAUUUCAAACACUGUUGGGGGUUUGACUUAUUGAAUAUAUACAUAUAUACGUACUAGUAUUUAUGAACGUGCGUUGCACGUUAAUAAUGGCACGUGAUGAUUUAAAUAUUUAUUUAUAUGAAGGAAUAAUAAAAUUUAAUUAAUAAGAGAAAUUUUAUGUAUAAUAAUACAACAAUCAUCUAAAUGCCGAA